UUUUGCCCUUCCUAAUGCAGUGACUUGGCGAGGGGAAAUGACCCGGGGAUGUGGGCGGCUCUCGAUUCUCCCCUGGGAGAGAGACGUUCGGGCAAAGUUGCGCUGCUACCCAUAAAUAGCAGAGGGGGAGAGGGCUUGGGCUCAGAGGCAGUGCAGGCCCCCCCCUCCCCAACUCCAUUCAUCCCCAGAGCUCACAAGACACCGCGUCCCCUACACAGUGAGCGCACCGGGGCCAUGCAGUGAAGAGUCCCAGCUGAGACCAUCCAGUUCCCAGAGCAGCCUGCGGACAGCUCGCCGCCCCACUGCCAGCCAGGACUGACUCCGCGCAGUGAAGAACAGACCAGCGCGUCCCAACCCAAGAUGCAGAGGUGGACUAGUUUCCUGUUUCUCUCUCUAAUCUUUUGCGCCACCCUCUCAGAGACAUUUGGACUCGUUUUAUCAGCAAAAGAAAAGAGGGGCUGGACUUUGAAUAGUGCUGGUUACCUACUUGGGCCACACGCAGUAGAUAAUCACAGAUCUUUUAAUGACAAACAUGGCCUAGCUGGUAAACGUGAGAUACAGCCUGAAGAGGAUAUGAAAACAGGUAAUUUUGGGAGACCAGUGGCUGAUGACAAUGUUGUACGCACAAUCAUUGAAUUUUUGACUUACUUGCAACUUAAAGGGAAUGCGAAUAGUUCAACAGUACAUCCUCUGGCACAAAAAUCUUAGUCCAAAGGCAAACCUUUCUCAAGAGUUUUGAAACCCAACAUAUCCUUGCUUACCUGAAUCGAGCAUGUUGAAUAAUUAUACAGUCAACAUUAGGGGAAACGGAAAAUAUUUUCAAGAUCUCUAAAUGGUCAAGAGGCUGGGGCACUAGACAAUUUACUUUCAUCAGAAGAAACAAAUCAGUCCUGAAAAAUAAUGUAUUUAUAUUUUGUUGUAUUGUAAAUUAAGACUGAACUCUAAACAGAGUUUUGAACGAUCAGAAGAUGGUGAUUAUUGUUUACAUUACUCUUCUACAGAGUUACACAUGGUAAACUACAUUUUGCCCUUUUUGUUUUGUUUUUUUCUGUGAUGUUACAAUGUAAGAUUUUGCCUUGAUAAAAAACAUUUCUUUAGGUAGAUGGUAAAAUAAAAAAGAGC
Pelodiscus sinensis (Chinese soft-shelled turtle) is the source of this 1122-nucleotide non-coding RNA. Lineage: Eukaryota; Metazoa; Chordata; Testudines; Trionychidae. The record is from RefSeq and is a predicted model, not a curated record.